RNAcentral lists this ribosomal RNA (468 nucleotides) under uncultured bacterium. RNAcentral's name for it is "partial 16S ribosomal RNA". It matches the Rfam family "Bacterial small subunit ribosomal RNA", at positions 28 to 507 of the family's 1533-position model. The record is from RNAcentral.
GACGAACGCUGGCGGCGCGCCUAACACAUGCAAGUCGAACGGAGCUGAGAGAAGCUUGCUUUUCUUAGCUUAGUGGCGAACGGGUGAGUAACGCGUGAGUAACCUGCCCUGGAGUGGGGGACAACAGUUGGAAACGACUGCUAAUACCGCAUAAGCCCACGAUCCGGCAUCGGAUUGAGGGAAAAGGAUUUAUUCGCUUCAGGAUGGGCUCGCGUCCAAUUAGCUAGUUGGUUAGGUAACGGCCCACCAAGGCGACGAUUGGUAGCCGGACUGAGAGGUUGAACGGACACAUUGGGACUGAGACACGGCCCAGACUCCUACGGGAGGGAGCAGUGGGGGAUAUUGCACAAUGGGGGAAACCCUGAUGCAGCGACGACGCGUGGAGGAAGAAGGUUUUCAGAUUGUAAACUCCUGUCGUUAGGGACGAUAAUGACGGUACCUAACAAGAAAGCACCGGCUAACUACGUG